ACAUGCCUACAACAUAACAUUAAUGCAUUGGAUCCCACUAGAAUUCCACGGUUAAGCAUGCUCAUGAUAGAGUAGUACUGGGAUGGGUGACCGCUCGAGAAUUCCUUGUGUUUUACAUGCC
Non-coding RNA from Picea glauca (white spruce), 121 nucleotides. The record is from Rfam. Lineage: Eukaryota; Viridiplantae; Streptophyta; Pinopsida; Pinales; Pinaceae.